Molecule: long non-coding RNA, 659 nt
Organism: Scatophagus argus
Lineage: Eukaryota; Metazoa; Chordata; Actinopteri; Scatophagidae
Exons: 3
Source: RefSeq, a predicted model, not a curated record
AAAAAAACAAAAAGGCUUCACCUCCCCGGAUCCUGCGUGCCUCGUUGGCGUCCUUGGUGACCUCGGUGUCAGACAGCCAUAAAGUUUCUGACCAGCAGCCACACGAUCAGAUGUCCCUGUGUGACACAAUGAACGCUGGGUGUCUGGAUCGUCAGGGACCAAUCAGGCAUGAAAGAUUCUCUCCCAGGAAAAACACGUCAAAGAUGUCAAGUCAUUUUGAACCUCUUCAGUUAUUUCCCAGGACAAAUGUCCCCGUGCACAAAGCAGACAUGGCUGACCAGUCUGCUGCCAAAGAACUCGACUGGCCUGCACAGAAACUUUCAUUUCUUAACUGUGUUCAAAUCUGAGGUACUUGUACUCUUUGUUCUUCUGCACCACAUCUCAAAUACUGCACUUUUCACUCCACUGUGUUUAUUUGACAGCUUCAGUUACUACUGGCUGGUUGUGACUGCAUUUCUCACAACUUAGAGAUGAGAUCAGACAAAGCAGGACAACAAGUGCAGUGGACACUUAACUGCAAUACUCUGAGUACUUUAAGUACUGAUUAUAAUUUCAUACAUUUACUGACAUUUUCAAUGCAUAACUGUUGCUUGUAACAUUGUCCAUUUUGGUAUGAGUACUUCUACUGCAGUAAAGGAUCUGACUGACAUGAAUACUUA